Non-coding RNA from Nematostella vectensis (starlet sea anemone), 117 nucleotides. NCBI's taxonomy places the organism in Eukaryota, Metazoa, Cnidaria, Anthozoa, Actiniaria, Edwardsiidae. The record is from Rfam.
GUCAGGAUGGCCGAGCGGUCUAAGGCGCCAGACUAAAGGUUCGAUUCCUUCUCCUCAUGAAUGGGAGAGUGUUCUGGUCUCCGAAUUGAGGCGUGGGUUCGAAUCCCACUUCUGACA